CCAGUCAGAAUAGAAGGCCUAGAACCAGGAGCAAGAAGGGGAUGGACGGCCCAGCCCCUGAGCCAGGGUGGGGGUGGGGGAUCCAAGCCUCCUCACCUUGUUCUAUUUGGCACUUGGACCAAUUAGACAAGGCCCACCCAAUGGGGGAAGCCUGCUCACUUCAGUCAGUAGUGAAAAAAUCCUCGUCUGUCUGGGAACAGCCUUGCUGCCUACCCAGAAAUAGUCUAACCUAGCAUCUGAGGAUCCCACAGCCCUGGGGAGUUGAUGGAGUAGCCAUCACACUGCCCGGUGCCAGCCCUUCCCAAACAUCUCUCCUGACCUGACCCGCCAAUAUCUCCCUGUAAGUGCCAAAGGCACCACAGAGAGGAUUCCUGGGCUCUUCACCAGCGUCCCAAGUCAGCUGGUCAGAAAGCUCACGGUCUUCCACCUUUAUGGAGAACAUGUCUCCUUAAAAAAAAAAAAAAAAAA
This 468-nucleotide long non-coding RNA is filed under the name Rattus norvegicus (Norway rat). Its description in RNAcentral is "long non-coding RNA NONRATT019857". The record is from RNAcentral. Lineage: Eukaryota; Metazoa; Chordata; Mammalia; Rodentia; Muridae.